RNAcentral lists this long non-coding RNA (1011 nucleotides) under Callithrix jacchus (white-tufted-ear marmoset). RNAcentral describes it as "lncRNA (ENSCJAG00000078022.1)". The record is from RNAcentral. Lineage: Eukaryota; Metazoa; Chordata; Mammalia; Primates; Cebidae.
CCCGAUUCUUCUUUAAAUGUCUGGUAGAAUUCUGCUGUGACUCUGUCUGGCCCUGAACUUUUCUGGUUUUGGUAGUGGUGGUAAUUUUUUAAUUAACAUUUCAGUCUUGCUGCCUGUUAUUCAUCUGUUCAGGGUAUCUAAUUUUUCCUGAUUUAAACUAGGAGCAUUGUAUUUUUCCAGGACUUUAUCCAUCUCUUCUAGGUUUCCUAGUUUACGUGUGCAAAGUUGUUCAUAGUACCCUUGAAUGAUCUUUUGUAUUUCAAUGGUGUCAGUUAUAGUAUCUCCUGUUUCGUUUCUUCGUGAGAUUAUUUGGAGUUUCUUUUCUUGAUUAAUCUUGCUAAUGGCCUAUCAAUUUCAUUUAUCUUUUCAAAGAAGCAGCUUUUUGUUUAUCUUGUGUGUUUUCCUUUGUUUAGAUUUCAUUUAGUUCUGCUCUGAUCUUGCUAAUUUCUUUUCUUCAGCUGGGUUUGCGCUUGGUUUGCUCUUGUUUCUCUCGUUCCUUGAGGUGUGACCUUAGAAUGUCAGUUUGUGCUCUUUCAAUCUUUUUGGUCAUAAUAUGCAGUAUCCUUUUAAAUGUCUAUUCAAUCUGUAGUGAUAUUAUUCUCCUCAUUCCUGAUAAAGCAAAUUUAAAUUUUCUCUAUUUGCUUAGUAGCCUUUCCAGGUGGUUACCAAUUUUAUUAAUCUUUUCAGAGAAACAUCUUUCGGGGCUGUCCAUUUCUGUUGCUUUCUACUUCAUUAAUUUCUGAUCUUAUAUUAUUUACUUCCUUCUAGUUUUCAUGUUAUUUGCUUUUGUUUUAGCUAAUGUUUCAUGUUAUUUGCUUUUGUUUCUAGCUAAUGGAAUUUUAGAUCAUUGAUUUUAAAUCUUAAUUUUUGAUACAAGCAUUAAGUCUAUAAAUUGUAUUGGGAGCACUCAGCUACACUCAAUUUUAGAGCCUGUCUUUUUCAUUCAAUUUGAAAUAUUUGAAAUAUUCAAUUUGAAUAUCCUUCUUAGACUCAUAAGUUAUUGAUAUGUGG